CAGCAGCCACGGUAAUACGAAGGGGGCUAGCGUUGCUCGGAAUGACUGGGCGUAAAGGGCGCGUAGGCGGUCACGAUAGUCAGAUGUGAAAUUCCUGGGCUUAACCUGGGGACUGCAUUUGAUACUGUGUGGCUUGAGUAUGGCAGAGGGGGGUGGAAUUCCGCGUGUAGCAGUGAAAUGCGUAGAUAUGCGGAGGAACACCGAUGGCGAAGGCAGCCCCCUGGGCCAAUACUGACGCUCAUGCACGAAAGCGUGGGGAGCAAACAGGAUUAGAUACCCCGGUAGUCCCUGUCUCUUAUAC
RNAcentral lists this ribosomal RNA (301 nucleotides) under uncultured bacterium. RNAcentral's name for it is "partial 16S ribosomal RNA". It matches the Rfam family "Bacterial small subunit ribosomal RNA", at positions 509 to 807 of the family's 1533-position model. The record is from RNAcentral.